UGCCCGAUCGUCUAAUGGUAGGACACAUGGUUUUGGUCCAUGGUAUCGAGGUUCGAGUCCUUGUCGGGCAGCAA
This 74-nucleotide transfer RNA is filed under the name Candidatus Yonathbacteria bacterium CG_4_10_14_0_8_um_filter_43_17. RNAcentral describes it as "tRNA-Gln". It matches the Rfam family "tRNA". From Rfam's summary of the family: Transfer RNA (tRNA) molecules are approximately 80 nucleotides in length. Their secondary structure includes four short double-helical elements and three loops (D, anti-codon, and T loops). The record is from RNAcentral. Lineage: Bacteria; Candidatus Yonathiibacteriota.